Callithrix jacchus (white-tufted-ear marmoset) is the source of this 1570-nucleotide long non-coding RNA. RefSeq lists it as uncharacterized. NCBI's taxonomy places the organism in Eukaryota, Metazoa, Chordata, Mammalia, Primates, Cebidae. The record is from RefSeq and is a predicted model, not a curated record.
CUCUUUGGGUCCAUGAUUUUAUUCAGAAGGUAAACUCCCUGUGCCUCUGGAGCCCCUUUCCCCAUUCUUCAGGGUUAGAAUGGCCAAGAACCUACAAGCUGGGUACUCCCUGGGUAAUAUCUUUUGGCAAGCCAGCCAGGAGACAUUGAACUACAGAGCGAAAAAGGUCUCUUCAUGGCUGUCCAACAAAUAGUCAGAGGAUCUGAAAUAUGCCAGAAAAACAAUCCUUGGACACAUCGCAGAGUUCCUCUUGGGGAAGAGCUAACCGGUCAUUACCCAGAAUUGAGGCCACGAGGCUACAAAUGGUCCUGCAAAUGGAACCCCGGAUGUCCUUGGAUCACGGACCUCUGGAUUGACCUGCACCCCUGGAAGACUGCCUCUGGAGGAAACCUCAACUGCAGGGCCGCUUCUACGCCCCAGUUCAGCAGGAAGUAGUUAAUGAGUGAUCAACGCCCAUGUCCCAACAGCAAUUGGACUUUCCAGUUCAGAAGGGGAACUGAGGGACUGGGUUAAAGAAACUUCUCUUCCUGGGUCCGCUAGGGGAGGGGUUUCAAAUGCAGGAAUUUCCCAGCUCCUCACCUCAGGCAGCUGGGGCUCUUUGAGCACCUCCUCCACGUGGACCAGGUAAAAUUCUUUGUCUGAUCGUCCCGCUGCAGGAAAGCCAGGUGGGACUCUUUUGUCCCAAAUUCCGCAAAAAGCUCUUGGAGAAGGGGGCUCUGUAACUCGGGGUUGUAGACCAAGUAGCCAAUCUGGUAUCAGAGUCAAAGGUCAAUCACUCCAGAGGAAUUUUGAAAGAACUCCUCUCAUUGGACAAGAACAUGAAUUGGGAGGGAAUAACUCAAGGGUUAAAACUUCAGCUUCUCCUACCUGAAGGGAUAUCCCUCUCUGGGUUCUCUUUCCAUAACAGUGUGGGAGCUGUCUCUCUCUCUCUCUCUCUCUCUCUCUCUCUCUCUCUCUCUCUCUCUCUCUGUCUAAUAAAUCACUCUUCCACGAAACUCUUUGGGUCCACAAUUUUAUUUGGAUGGUAAACUCACUGCACCUCCAGGGCCCCUUUCCUCAUUCUUCAGGGUUAGAGAGGUCAAGAACCUACAAGCUGGGUACUCCCCCAGUAACAAUAUGGUUCUUUCUACAGAAAAUCCCAAGGAAUCUCAAAACAAACAAACAAAACCCUCUUGAAAUUGAUAAGCAGUUAUAGAAAGAUUGUAGGAUACCAAAGUCAAUUGCUUUCAGUUCUAUCUCUACAAUUUCCUAUAAAUAUAUAUAGUUACUUCAAAACAAAACCAAAAAAAUCUUAAAUGGAAAAAUGAAGUACUCCCAUAAACCACAAAUAUCUGUAAUCUUGCUUGGGUUUGAUAAAUAAGUGGUGAUAACUUACAAAAUGACAACAAGAAUUGCUGUUCUCUUUGGGAUAUAUCAAUGGGAGGUAAGCCAAGGGAUCCACAAAAACACCUGGAAAUGAAAUAAUUUAUUUGAAUAUUAACUUAUGCUGAAUCAUACACACACAUACACACAUGCAUACUCAACUGUAACCUCACCUUUUAAAUAAAAUUAGUAUUAACAUUUUGUUAUA